AAUGAGUUGUUUAACACUUUUCAUUGUAAGUUAUAUGGGAUUUUUUAUAUGCAAUUAAAAAGCCCUAUAAUAUCCAGUGGAUUUAUCCACUACAGAGAUUAUAGAGCC
This 108-nucleotide non-coding RNA is filed under the name Streptococcus dysgalactiae. RNAcentral's name for it is "Streptococcus RNA 266". It matches the Rfam family "Streptococcus RNA 266". Lineage: Bacteria; Bacillati; Bacillota; Bacilli; Lactobacillales; Streptococcaceae. The record is from RNAcentral.